AGUGGGGAAUUUUCCGCAAUGGGCGACAGCCUGACGGAGCAAGACCGCGUGGGGGAGGAAGGCUCUUGGGUCGUAAACCCCUUUUCUCAGGGAAGAAGAUCUGACGGUACCUGAGGAAUCAGCAUCGGCUAACUCCGUGCCAGCAGCCGCGGUAAGACGGAGGAUGCAAGCGUUAUCCGGAAUUAUUGGGCGUAAAGCGUCCGUAGGCGGUUUAUCAAGUCUGUCGUUAAAGACUGCAGCUUAACUGUGGGCAAGCGGUGGAAACUGAUUAACUAGAGUGUGGUAGGGGUAGAGGGAAUUCCCAGUGUAGCGGUGAAAUGCGUAGAUAUUGGGAAGAACACCAGUGGCGAAGGCGCUCUACUGGGCCACAACUGACGCUGAGGGACGAAAGCUAGGGGAGCGAAAGGGAUUAGAUACCCCUGUAGUCCUAGCUGUAAACGAUGGAUACUAGGUGUUGCGCGUAUCGACCCGUGCAGUACCGCAGCCAACGCGAUAAGUAUCCCGCCUGGGGAGUACGCACGCAAGUGUG
RNAcentral lists this ribosomal RNA (529 nucleotides) under uncultured cyanobacterium. RNAcentral's name for it is "bacterial SSU rRNA". It matches the Rfam family "Bacterial small subunit ribosomal RNA", at positions 353 to 896 of the family's 1533-position model. The record is from RNAcentral. Lineage: Bacteria; Bacillati; Cyanobacteriota.